UACUCAUUUAUUUUAGUAAGAAAUCACUCCAAGCAGUAAGAUGGACAUCAUGAUAAAAAUAUCGCUCCAGUUUCCUUAUCUUAUGACUCAUAGGCCAUAGUUUUUAGUUGGGCGUGCACAAUACCUGUAUAUGAUGUUUGAGCUUUCCACAUCUGUCUAUUAUAUAUUAUAUAUAUACACUAAAAGAACAAUAUGGUAGAAAAUAGAGAAGUAUGCUAGAAAUUUCUGCAAAAAAGCAAAACAACUAAUCUUUGAUCUGGUAGACCGUCUCUUUAUUAGUAGAUCACAACCGUUCGAUCUAUAUAAUGGUACCUAAACAGAUCAUACCCAUUAGAUCAACAUAAAUGUACCUAAAUGAUCGUACCCAUUAGAUCUAGUACAUAAGCAUGCCUAAACCGAUCCCAUCUGUUAGAUCUGUAUAAACGAACCUAUGAUUCUUCAUAAUUGUGCCUAAACAUAUCACACCUAUUAGAUCUUCAUAAUUGUACCUACGCAAGAUCAUUAAUGCUAGAUUGCGUAACUAUAGCUACAUUGUACCUACAGUCCUACACAGAUCAUAGCAAGUAUAUUUUGUAACUAUAGCUACAUAAAUCACAAAUGAUAGAUCAUCAUAGUUGCAUUUAGAAAAAUCUCACAUGCAAAAGUAUUUUUAAGCGCACAUGUUAAUUAUUAUUAUUUGAACUAUAAACGAUAGUACAUGCAUGCUACAUGUUAUUUAAAUAACUUAGACCCACCACAUACAUUAAUGAUGUGCAAUGGAUACAUGACUCCUAUAAAAAUAUAGUAAAAAAUUUCCUUUUACCAUCUUAUGCUCUGUAAAUAUUAGACUACCGACAACAUAUUCUUUAGGACGAUACGCUAAAAAAGUGGUUGGAAAGUUAUUAGGCUCAAGCAUGAGCAUUGGCGAAGGAGUGCAUAAGCAUUGAUUAUUACCCCCUUCGUUCCUUUAUAUAAGGUGCGUUUGUUUUUCCAAAAGUUAAACGAGUGCAUGUUUGACCAAGUUUUUAGAAAAAUAUAUCAAUAUCCACAAUACAAAAUUCAUAUCAUUUGAUCCAUCAUGAAGAGUAGUUUCAUAUUUUAUCUACUAGGCAUUGCAGAUGUUGUUAUUUUAUUCUAUAAUCUUGGUCAAACAUUCAAAUGGUUGACUUGCACAGAAAUCAAUACACCUUAUAUUCUGGAACAGGGGGAGUAGAACCUAAGGAUUGAAGGCUGAGGGUGCUGGCCAUUGAUUUUUUAAAUUUUUUGUUUUAAUUAUAAGGGAAGGAUCCAACUGUAUAAGCAAAAUCUCAGUGCAAGCAUAAUUCGAGGAGGAUAUGAACAGAAGCAGAUAAAAUGACAUAUGGCAAAUAACACGUCGUUUUAGACAUGGAUACCGGCCUGCGCUAGCAACCAUAUGAGAAUUGAUCUAGCCGGUCUGCAUAUUGCGGGUUAGUUUGAUUGGAGUCAUCCACACCUACGGUAUAAACAGGUUAUUGAGAAACAAAAACUGUAUCAUUAGAUUUUUCUAAAUAUUUUAUAAUUCUUUUGUUAUUUCUUAGCAACAUAAUCAUAUAUUCAUAUACAAGAUGAAGGUUGAAGUUACUGCUUAGGACUGUAUCCGUGUCUAAAACGACGUGUUAUUUGCAGUGAAGGGGGUAAAUGCAGGGAUUUUUUGUAUAAGAUAAAAAAUAAAUACUAAACACUUCCG
Molecule: long non-coding RNA, 1687 nt
Organism: Triticum aestivum (bread wheat)
Lineage: Eukaryota; Viridiplantae; Streptophyta; Magnoliopsida; Poales; Poaceae
Exons: 2
Source: RefSeq, a predicted model, not a curated record